UGCCAGCCGCCGCGGUAAUACGGGGGGUGCAAGCGUUGUUCGGAAUUAUUGGGCGUAAAGGGUGCGUAGGCGGGUUCUUAAGUCUGAUGUGAAAUCCCUCGGCUCAACCAAGGACGUGCAUUGGAUACUGGGAACCUUGAGUCCUGGAGAGGAAAGCGGAAUUCCAAGUGUAGAGGUGAAAUUCGUAGAUAUUUGGAGGAACACCAGUGGCGAAGGCGGCUUUCUGGAUCAUUACUGACACUGAGGAACGAAAGCAUGGGUAGCGAAGAGGAUUAGAUA
This 279-nucleotide ribosomal RNA is filed under the name uncultured bacterium. RNAcentral describes it as "partial 16S ribosomal RNA". It matches the Rfam family "Bacterial small subunit ribosomal RNA", at positions 506 to 784 of the family's 1533-position model. The record is from RNAcentral.